This 1978-nucleotide ribosomal RNA is filed under the name Vibrio cholerae O1 biovar El Tor. RNAcentral's name for it is "bacterial LSU rRNA". It matches the Rfam family "Bacterial large subunit ribosomal RNA", at positions 984 to 2925 of the family's 2925-position model. The record is from RNAcentral. Lineage: Bacteria; Pseudomonadati; Pseudomonadota; Gammaproteobacteria; Vibrionales; Vibrionaceae.
ACACGGCGGGUGCUAACGUCCGUCGUGGAGAGGGAAACAACCCAGACCGCCAGCUAAGGUCCCAAAGUAUUGCUAAGUGGGAAACGAUGUGGGAAGGCUCAGACAGCUAGGAUGUUGGCUUAGAAGCAGCCAUCAUUUAAAGAAAGCGUAAUAGCUCACUAGUCGAGUCGGCCUGCGCGGAAGAUGUAACGGGGCUAAGCAAUACACCGAAGCUGCGGCAAUGUCUUUUAGACAUUGGGUAGGGGAGCGUUCUGUAAGCCGUUGAAGGUGAAUCGUAAGGUUUGCUGGAGGUAUCAGAAGUGCGAAUGCUGACAUGAGUAACGACAAAGGGGGUGAAAAACCUCCUCGCCGGAAGACCAAGGGUUCCUGUCCAACGUUAAUCGGGGCAGGGUGAGUCGACCCCUAAGGUGAGGCCGAAAGGCGUAAUCGAUGGGAAACGGGUUAAUAUUCCCGUACUUCUGACUAUUGCGAUGGGGGGACGGAGAAGGCUAGGUGGGCCAGGCGACGGUUGUCCUGGUUCAAGUGCGUAGGCUUGAGAGUUAGGUAAAUCCGGCUCUCUCUAAGGCUGAGACACGACGUCGAGCUACUACGGUAGUGAAGUCAUUGAUGCCAUGCUUCCAGGAAAAGCCUCUAAGCUUCAGAUAGUCAGGAAUCGUACCCCAAACCGACACAGGUGGUCGGGUAGAGAAUACCAAGGCGCUUGAGAGAACUCGGGUGAAGGAACUAGGCAAAAUGGUACCGUAACUUCGGGAGAAGGUACGCUCUUGAUGGUGAAGUCCCUCGCGGAUGGAGCUGACGAGAGUCGCAGAUACCAGGUGGCUGCAACUGUUUAUUAAAAACACAGCACUGUGCAAAAUCGCAAGAUGACGUAUACGGUGUGACGCCUGCCCGGUGCCGGAAGGUUAAUUGAUGGGGUUAGCGCAAGCGAAGCUCUUGAUCGAAGCCCCGGUAAACGGCGGCCGUAACUAUAACGGUCCUAAGGUAGCGAAAUUCCUUGUCGGGUAAGUUCCGACCUGCACGAAUGGCGUAAUGAUGGCCACGCUGUCUCCACCCGAGACUCAGUGAAAUUGAAAUCGCUGUGAAGAUGCAGUGUACCCGCGGCUAGACGGAAAGACCCCGUGAACCUUUACUACAGCUUGGCACUGAACAUUGAACCUACAUGUGUAGGAUAGGUGGGAGGCUAUGAAGACGUGACGCCAGUUGCGUUGGAGCCGUCCUUGAAAUACCACCCUUGUAUGUUUGAUGUUCUAACUUAGACCCAUUAUCUGGGUUGAGGACAGUGCCUGGUGGGUAGUUUGACUGGGGCGGUCUCCUCCCAAAGAGUAACGGAGGAGCACGAAGGUGGGCUAAUCACGGUUGGACAUCGUGAGGUUAGUGCAAUGGCAUAAGCCCGCUUAACUGCGAGAAUGACGGUUCGAGCAGGUGCGAAAGCAGGUCAUAGUGAUCCGGUGGUUCUGUAUGGAAGGGCCAUCGCUCAACGGAUAAAAGGUACUCCGGGGAUAACAGGCUGAUACCGCCCAAGAGUUCAUAUCGACGGCGGUGUUUGGCACCUCGAUGUCGGCUCAUCACAUCCUGGGGCUGAAGUCGGUCCCAAGGGUAUGGCUGUUCGCCAUUUAAAGUGGUACGCGAGCUGGGUUUAGAACGUCGUGAGACAGUUCGGUCCCUAUCUGCCGUGGGCGUUGGAAGAUUGAAGGGGGCUGCUCCUAGUACGAGAGGACCGGAGUGGACGAACCUCUGGUGUUCGGGUUGUGUCGCCAGACGCAUUGCCCGGUAGCUAAGUUCGGAAUUGAUAAGCGCUGAAAGCAUCUAAGCGCGAAGCGAGCCCUGAGAUGAGUCUUCCCUGACAGUUUAACUGUCCUAAAGGGUUGUUCGAGACUAGAACGUUGAUAGGCAGGGUGUGUAAGCGUUGUGAGGCGUUGAGCUAACCUGUACUAAUUGCCCGUGAGGCUUAACCAUACAACACCCAAGGGGUUUUGUA